RNAcentral lists this ribosomal RNA (532 nucleotides) under uncultured bacterium. Its description in RNAcentral is "partial 16S ribosomal RNA". It matches the Rfam family "Bacterial small subunit ribosomal RNA", at positions 355 to 899 of the family's 1533-position model. The record is from RNAcentral.
UGGGGAAUAUUGCACAAUGGGCGAAAGCCUGAUGCAGCAACGCCGCGUGAGUGAUGAAGGCCCUCGGGUUGUAAAGCUCUGUCUUUUGGGACGAUAAUGACGGUACCAAAGGAGGAAGCCACGGCUAACUACGUGCCAGCAGCCGCGGUAAUACGUAGGUGGCAAGCGUUGCCCGGAUUUACUGGGCGUAAAGGAUGCGUAGGCGGAUUUUUAAGUGAGAUGUGAAAACCCUAAGCUUAACUUGGGGACUGCAUUUCAUACUGGAAAUCUAGAGUGCGGGAGAGGAGAAUGGAAUUCCUAGUGUAGCGGUGAAAUGCGUAGAGAUUAGGAAGAACACCAGUGGCGAAGGCGAUUCUCUGGACCGUAACUGACGCUGAGGCAUGAAAGCGUGGGUAGCAAACAGGAUUAGAUACCCUGGUAGUCCACGCCGUAAACCGAUGAGUACUAGGUGUAGGAGGUAUCGACCCCCUUCUGUGCCGCAGUUAAACACAAUAAGUACUCCGCCUGGGGAAGUACGAUCGCAAGAUUAAAA